ACUCCUGCGGGAGGCAGCAGUGGGGAAUAUUGGACAAUGGGCGCAAGCCUGAUCCAGCCAUGCCGCGUGAGUGAUGAAGGCCCUAGGGUUGUAAAGCUCUUUCACCGGUGAAGAUAAUGACGGUAACCGGAGAAGAAGCCCCGGCUAACUUCGUGCCAGCAGCCGCGGUAAUACGAAGGGGGCUAGCGUUGUUCGGAUUUACUGGGCGUAAAGCGCACGUAGGCGGACUAUUAAGUCAGGGGUGAAAUCCCGGGGCUCAACCCCGGAACUGCCUUUGAUACUGGUAGUCUUGAGUUCGAGAGAGGUGAGUGGAAUUCCGAGUGUAGAGGUGAAAUUCGUAGAUAUUCGGAGGAACACCAGUGGCGAAGGCGGCUCACUGGCUCGAUACUGACGCUGAGGUGUGAAAGCGUGGGGAGCAAACAGGAUUAGAUACCCCUCUAGUCCCAUGA
This 449-nucleotide ribosomal RNA is filed under the name uncultured organism. Its description in RNAcentral is "partial 16S ribosomal RNA". It matches the Rfam family "Bacterial small subunit ribosomal RNA", at positions 335 to 800 of the family's 1533-position model. The record is from RNAcentral.